Molecule: transfer RNA, 62 nt
Filed under: Aenictopecheidae sp. PJ-2015
Lineage: Eukaryota; Metazoa; Arthropoda; Insecta; Hemiptera; Aenictopecheidae
Description: tRNA-Trp
Source: RNAcentral
AAAGCUUUAAGUUAAAAAAACUAUUAAUCUUCAAAAUUAAAAAUAUUAUAUAUUAAGCUUUA